CCUACGGGUGGCAGCAGUGGGGAAUAUUGCACAAUGGGGGAAACCCUGAUGCAGCGACGCCGCGUGAGCGAGGAAGUAUUUCGGUAUGUAAAGCUCUAUCAGCAGGGACGAAAAAAGACGGUACCUGACUAAGAAGCCCCGGCUAACUACGUGCCAGCAGCCGCGGUAAUACGUAGGGGGCAAGCGUUAUCCGGAUUUACUGGGUGGAAAGGGAGCGUAGACGGCAGCACAAGUCUGGAGUGAAAUCCCGGGGCUUAACCCCGGAACUGCUUUGGAAACUGUGCGGCUGGAGUGCAGGAGGGGUAAGCGGAAUUCCUAGUGUAGCGGUGAAAUGCGUAGAUAUUAGGAGGAACACCGGUGGCGAAGGCGGCUUACUGGACUGUAACUGACGUUGAGGCUCGAAAGCGUGGGGAGCAAACAGGAUUAGAUACCCCAGUAGUC
RNAcentral lists this ribosomal RNA (441 nucleotides) under uncultured bacterium. RNAcentral describes it as "partial 16S ribosomal RNA". It matches the Rfam family "Bacterial small subunit ribosomal RNA", at positions 338 to 795 of the family's 1533-position model. The record is from RNAcentral.